Long non-coding RNA from Peromyscus eremicus (cactus mouse), 757 nucleotides. RefSeq lists it as uncharacterized. The transcript is spliced from 3 exons. NCBI's taxonomy places the organism in Eukaryota, Metazoa, Chordata, Mammalia, Rodentia, Cricetidae. The record is from RefSeq and is a predicted model, not a curated record.
GCUGGCAAUGUACUCUGAAGUUCUGACACCUUAUACUGGCCACACUGGGAUCAGGAGACAGAGACCAGGAAGGAGCUCAUGGAUGGCACCCAGACAAAGCCUCUUUUACGCUGAGAAUCCAGCCAGUACAAAGCACAUCUCUGCUGACCUCAGACUUGAAGUGGGUCCCUGAAGAACAUUACCAGAAGCUGACCAGGAAGGACGUGUCCUAAAGCACAGCCAAGGGCACAGCCUCCGCUGCAGUUUUUGCUAAGAUGGGUUGCAUGUCCUAUUUGGCACCACGGACAGAAGACAGGCCGGAAGGGUGAAGUCCCGGGCUUGUGGGUUUCUGACAGGACAGUCCCCAAGCAGGGAGGCCAGCUUUGAACGGGAUAGAUACAGGAAAAUGGACCACAGAACUCGGCACUCCAUUCUCCAGACAAGAGUUCCUACUGUCCAUUCCGGCGUGGAUGUGGGGAACUAAAGAGGGAGCAGCCACUCUCCAGGGCCCAAAACUACAUGGAAGAGCUGAGCAACUUCAUUUGGAAUGAAGCUUUGAUGAGCCUGAAUGAAAAUGAUAAAGACAAUAAAAAUAUGGGCAGCUGCUGGAACACAAGGAAGGCCAAGGAGGCAACAGGACCCGAGAGGUGACAAGAAAGUAAACUCAACCCUAGAGACACCAACUCGUUAGCUAGGCGGUCAAGAGGACACAACAGGGUCAUUCAGAAAAAGCUCCCUAGCUAUAAAAGCUCUCGGGUCCGGUCCUCAGUGCAACGAG